AACGAACGCUGGCGGCAUGCCUAACACAUGCAAGUCGAACGAGACCUUCGGGUCUAGUGGCGCACGGGUGCGUAACGCGUGGGAAUCUGCCCUUGGGUUCGGAAUAACAGCGAGAAAUUGCUGCUAAUACCGGAUGAUGACGUAAGUCCAAAGAUUUAUCGCCCAAGGAUGAGCCCGCGUAGGAUUAGCUAGUUGGUGAGGUAAAGGCUCACCAAGGCGACGAUCCUUAGCUGGUCUGAGAGGAUGAUCAGCCACACUGGGACUGAGACACGGCCCAGACUCCUACGGGAGGCAGCAGUGGGGAAUAUUGGACAAUGGGCGAAAGCCUGAUCCAGCAAUGCCGCGUGAGUGAUGAAGGCCUUAGGGUUGUAAAGCUCUUUUACCCGGGAUGAUAAUGACAGUACCGGGAGAAUAAGCUCCGGCUAACUCCGUGCCAGCAGCCGC
RNAcentral lists this ribosomal RNA (444 nucleotides) under uncultured bacterium. RNAcentral describes it as "bacterial SSU rRNA". It matches the Rfam family "Bacterial small subunit ribosomal RNA", at positions 29 to 518 of the family's 1533-position model. The record is from RNAcentral.